UACCAAGGCUACGACGUUUAGGGGAGCUGAGAGGCUGACCCCCACCGAUGGGACUGAGACACGGCCCAUACUCCUACGGGAGGCCGCAGUCGAGAAUCUUCCGCAAUGGACGCAAGUCUGACGGAGCGAUACAGCGUGGUAGAUGAAGUGCUUCGGCACGUAAAUACCUUUUAUGAGGGACGAAAUUAUUGACGGUACCUCAUGAAUAAGGGGCUCCUAACUCUGUGCCAGCAGGAGCGGUAAUACAGAGGCCCCAAGCAUUAUCCGGAAUCACUGGGCGUAAAGGGUGUCAAGGCGGUCAUAUUAGUCUUCCGUUAAAUCCAGGAGCUCAACUUCUGGCCCGCGGGAGAAACGGUAUGACCAGAGGUUGGAAGAGGUGCGUGGAACUCACGGUGUAGGGGUGAAAUCCGUUGAUAUCGUGGGGAACACCAAAGGCGAAGGCAGCGCACUGGUCCAAAUCUGACGCUCACACACGAAAGCCAGGGUAGCGAAUGGGAUUAGAUACCCCAGUAGUCCUGGCCCUAAACGUUGCUCGCUCGUUUUACGGAGAAUCGACCCUCUGUGAGACUAAGCUAACGCGGUAAGCGAGCCGCCUGGGUAGUACGAUCGCAAGGUUAAAACUCAAAGGAAUUGACGG
RNAcentral lists this ribosomal RNA (637 nucleotides) under uncultured bacterium. Its description in RNAcentral is "bacterial SSU rRNA". It matches the Rfam family "Bacterial small subunit ribosomal RNA", at positions 266 to 916 of the family's 1533-position model. The record is from RNAcentral.